This is a long non-coding RNA of Arabidopsis lyrata subsp. lyrata, 436 nucleotides long. RefSeq lists it as uncharacterized. The record is from RefSeq and is a predicted model, not a curated record. Lineage: Eukaryota; Viridiplantae; Streptophyta; Magnoliopsida; Brassicales; Brassicaceae. The transcript is spliced from 2 exons.
ACCAGAGACUCAAAUCGGAGGUAUCGCCGUCGUUCCGGUGUUAGUUCAUCAUCUCCACCGCUGCACUUUCUGAUGCAUCCACUGCUCCUUUCGCUUCUAGGUUUCUCUACGGAUAUAAAACAUCAGUGGAAGUGAAGAUGAAGAUGAAGAUGAAGCUGGUGGAUCCCAAUCCUGAGCAUCAAAGAAGAAAGAGAAUAAGCGACAAGAGCGGGAAGCACAAAGACGAUCUAGCAUAUGUAAAAUCGAGGUUUUUGGACCUUGAAGAUGACUUUUAUGUUUAUAUGUGAUCAAGAGUUUAGAUUGGUUUAAAAUCAAAAUCACUAGGGAUUUCGAUUUUGUUGAAAUCUGUUAAUUGUGAGCUUUGAUCCCAACUUUUGGAUGUUGUUUGGGAUUCCAAAAACUCUUUUAAUAGAUUUUGACUCUUGUCACUUAUUCA